GAGAGGCUUCAGAGUGACUCCUCAUGGCAAAAGUGGGUCACAUAAGGAAGACAGGACAGGUGUUUGUUCCUUUAGUAAUCCCUCCAGUGUCUGACAACCAAAUCGUUUUUCACAUUGCUACCGAAUAUAUCCUAAAAUGUGAGUUUGAUCAUGCCUCUCUCCUUCUCAAAAACCCACAGUAGCUCCCUAUUGCCGACAGAGUACAAACAUGAAUCCAUUUGGCAUGAGAUGUCCUCCAUUCCAGAGCCCCUAACUUCCUUUCCAGCCUCAUCUGCCACCUCCUUCCCCAACACUCUUGCACUCCUGGACAUGCCGCGUGCCGCUGCAACUUAGGUCUUCUCCAUCUAUUCUUUAGCCCCAGCCACGCCCUAAAUGCUUCCUCUUUUGUAACCCUGCCCCCACCCUGAUCCUUUUGGUCAGAAUUAAUCUCUUCUUCCUCAAUGCUGUCACAGCAAAUAGCAGGUAAGCCUUCUCAGGCCUUGUGUUGCCCUGCCUUGGAUUACUGUGAGGUGUUUACGAGUCAUUUCCACCACAGACAACAAAUACCGCAGGGGCAUUGGCCGUGAACUCACUUUUGUGUAGGGCAGAAAUCCAGACUUCUGUUUACAGGAAAUAUACCCUGUCUGUGUGCUGUAUCCUUCCUGGGCCUCUGCUUCUCUAUCCUUUUUAUAACAGUGUUUCCUAAAACAGGAUUGGAGGAACUGUUAAAGUCACUCCUGUUUCUGAUGGCAGUGUGAGUUCUCAAUCUACACAGGAUGACGUGAAAGAAAAGAUCAAGAACUACUGCUUGGCAGCCACACUUCUUGAACAAGGAGCUCCAUUUCACCUGCCAUUGCCUCAACCCACUGAAAAUGGGAUUUGGUCCCUACUGAGCUGUCCAAAUUCCUUCCUCCAAGGCGAUCCCUCAAGAGCAAAGGCCUAGCACAUGGCUGAGCACUUGACACCACCAGCAGUGUUUGCUUUGUCAGUUUUCAAACUUUGUCCUUCUCUAGCACUCUCCUCUUGCCCCUCUGGCUGUCCCUGUCUAAAUCUCCUGCACUGGAGCAUCUCCCUGAGCCCAGCUCACAUUGGCAAUAUUCUUUGCUUCAUCCUGGUACACUGUCCCCAGACAACUCAGUCACUUGUGGGGCUUUGGUUGCUGCCUAAAUGCAGAAGAACUUGGUCUACAUGCUAGGUCUUUCUGUGCUCCAGAUCUUUCUGGGCUGCCUGCCUAACUGGAUGCCCAAAACACUUCAAUUUCUCCCCUAACUGAGGCUUUGGUGAGGAGAAAUAUUGACUCCAACUCUAUCCCAGUGCUUUACUGUGGGCAGAGUAUAGACCUAGCCCCUUGAUUUGGGGCUUAGCCGUGUGACUUCCUUUGGCCAGUAAUGAGGGUAGGGGAUGGAAGUAGGAGUGUGCCACAGCUGAACCUCUGGCAUGGCAGUGAGAAGAGCUUCCCCUGGCAAGCUGCUGCCUCCCGUAUCUGGGCCCAGAAUGAGCACACAUGGAGCCAAGCCAAGCUGCCCUCACCAACCCACAGACAUAAAGCAAGAGGCAGGGCAAGCCCAGUGUGGUGGCUCACGCCUGUAAUCCCAGUGCUUUGGAGGACUAAGGUGGAUGGAUUCCUUGACCCCAGGAGUUCAAGAUCAGCGUGGGCAACAUAGUGAGACUUCAUUGCUACAAAAAAUAAAAUAUAUUUGCCAAGCAUGAUGGUGCACACCUGUAGCCCCAGCUCCCUGGGAGACUGG
RNAcentral lists this long non-coding RNA (1727 nucleotides) under Homo sapiens (human). RNAcentral's name for it is "HSALNT0175922". The record is from RNAcentral. Lineage: Eukaryota; Metazoa; Chordata; Mammalia; Primates; Hominidae.